This 2095-nucleotide long non-coding RNA is filed under the name Nicotiana benthamiana. RNAcentral describes it as "long non-coding RNA (NBEN_LNC016197)". The record is from RNAcentral. Lineage: Eukaryota; Viridiplantae; Streptophyta; Magnoliopsida; Solanales; Solanaceae.
UUGCACCUAAUUCCUGUUAUCCAAAUCAAGUGAAUUAACACCUAUUCAUUAGGUAGCAAACCAAACAAUUAUUGAUUUCAAUCCAAAUUAAUAAAACCAAAUCUAGCUCACCCUUUUUAUAAAAAUAGUUCCUAUAUUAAACUAUCAACAUACAGCAGCAAUGUAUACUGACGGUUCAAAACUUCAGAACAAAAUAUAACACAGCUGCCUACAAAUGAAAUUACUGGGUUCAACAGUCCAGUUAUAACUCAGUUUAAAUUUUUAAUUAUGCAAAUUAAAGUUAAAUUACAUCAUUAUAACAUCUAAACUAUUAUGCACCAUUACAUCAAUCCAAACUGGCAAAGAUUGAGAAGCAGAUGAAUAAGUAUGUCAUUGCAUUUCCUCUUCAAUUCGAUAUCAGUACAUCAAGGAGGGUCAAAUACCUGGAAAUUAUAGAAACAACAAAAAGGGUCAGAUCAAUUAGCAUCAGUCUAACAAACAACUUGACGCAGCAAAAUAUUCAGUGAAUCAGUAACCACAGAAAUCAAGUCCACGACGCAGCAAUAAACAAAGGAACUUGUAAACCCAACAGAAAAACCACGACCCAACAAUGACAAACCCAAAUCAAUUCAAAACAAGUCCUAAGCCAAGCUAGGAGGCAUAACUUCAAAGAAAAACCCAGAAUCCAAUCACACUCAAUGAAACAGUGAAAUUUUUUGUUGUUUUCUAUUUCUGUAUGUAUUUUUUUGUUUGUAUUUUUGUGUAUUUAAAUGCAGAAAUUUAUGUGAAACUGAAAAUGAAAGGAUAUUCAGACUUUUAGUGAAAAUUUUUAGCUCCAAAAUUCAAACCCCUUUCACAAGGCAAUUAAUGCCCUUUAUAUAGGAAUAAAUAAGGGCAACACUCUGAUAUUCCUUUGCACCCACAACCCCUAAUCAUUUUCAACUUAAAACCUUUAUUCUAUGACUUGCUACUCAAGUUAAUAGCCUAAGUUUAUUGAAAGAUACACUAAGGUCCUAUUCUAGAAGCCUCCAAGAUGCUCUUUGAGCAAGACAAACCCUAAACUACACUUCCCUUGUUUUAAAAUUACCAAACCCAGAGAUUCUACCCUUUUCUAUCCCCAAAAAUAUCCUUUAAACAGUCUGAAAAUUACAGACUAAACUACCUGAACCCAAUCUCUCACCCCAGCUAAACUUUAACUAAAGUUAAUUAAUCAAAUGACUUGUUCAGCUAUAACCCAACCUUACACCUAACGGGAUCACAUAUAACAACUGAAAUUCAAUUAAACUAAAAUUAAUUCGACUAACUAAAGUACUAUCCCAAUCCACCGAUAAUCAAAUCAUCUUAGAACAAAUUGGAAAUUCUUUUGAACUAAAAUUCUAAACAAAAAUCAAUUCACAACAAGGCAGUUGAACCAACUAACACCUAAUUGGCGAAACUACUAAUUAACCAUUUAAGCACAAACAAGACAGAAAUCAAUAGAACUAAUAAAAACUGGAAUUUAAACCAAGUAUCAUCAUAAACACGUAUAACCCAUUACAAUACUCAAGGCUUUACUAACAAAUUAAAAGAUAGAAUUAUAUUGCAAACAAACAACUAAUUAGGAUAUUCGAAAAUUAAAAUUACACUUAGUUAUAAACAUGACGAACUAAAUCGAAUCCAAAAGAUGAGAAAAAGACUUACUGAUUUUAACCUGAUAUUUAUUUGAUCCCGGAAGUGAAUCUUAAUUAAUAUUACAAGUUUAUCUUUGUAAAAAUAAACUUAUAAUAUUAAUAAAAAUCACCCGAGAAUGAGGCUUCAAACGGCAGACACACUUGAAAAUCCUAGAUCUGCAAUUCGAGUCAGUUUGCUUGUUUUUAAAGUCUUUUGGCUUGUGAUUCGAGGUGUGAAUUUGAUCCGGUUUUGACGAGAUUGUGUUUUGACCGGAAUUUUCUAUUUAGGAUUCGAGGACUUUGGUGAUGAUUCGAGGGAAAUUGGAUGGGGAUUCGAGAUGAGGGUAGUGAGGAGAGUCUACGGUGUAUUUUUGGUUAAGUUUGGUGGUCGACGCUGCCACCGGCGGCCUGGGGUUUCAUGGCGGCGUGUCUAGGGUUUGUGAGAGGUGAGGAAGACAAUGUGAAAU